This 214-nucleotide ribosomal RNA is filed under the name uncultured bacterium. RNAcentral's name for it is "partial 16S ribosomal RNA". It matches the Rfam family "Bacterial small subunit ribosomal RNA", at positions 111 to 334 of the family's 1533-position model. The record is from RNAcentral.
UAACACGUGGGUGAUCUGCCUUUGGGUGAGGAAUACCGGCGAGAAAUCGCCGACAAUACCGCAUACGCUUCGCAAGAAGCAAAGCUCCGCAAGGGGCGCCUGAGGAGGAGCCUGCGUCCGAUUAGCCAGUUGGUGGGGUAAUGGCCUACCAAAGCGACGAUCGGUAGCUGGUCUGAGAGGAUGAUCAGCCACACUGGGAUUGAGAACGGCCCAG